Gorilla gorilla gorilla (western lowland gorilla) is the source of this 5144-nucleotide RNA transcript. RefSeq lists it as uncharacterized. The record is from RefSeq and is a predicted model, not a curated record. Lineage: Eukaryota; Metazoa; Chordata; Mammalia; Primates; Hominidae. The transcript is spliced from 7 exons.
GACUUGGCGGCGGGUGCCAUGCGUCUGGAGCUUCACAUUCUCUGCCCCCCACCCACCGCGCCGGCGCUCCCUUGUCACGCCUCGGGAAGCGCGCACCUGCCAAGCAGGUCACUCUGUCGCCGGAGGGCAGUCGCAUGAUCAUAGGUCACUGUAACCUGGAACUCCUGGGUUCAGGCAAUCUUCCCACCUCAGCUUCCUGAGUAGCUGGAAUUACAGGUCUGCUAAUUUUUAUUUUCUCUAUUUUGAAGGAUGAAUAAUCUGAUAUCAUGUGAAAUGAGGAAAUAAGAAGCUUUCUGCUGACUUCAUUUUGACCCAGGGUCCAAAAGGUGAUGUAAUCGUGUGGCAAGAAGAUUCAAAACUGUGGACUAUCUUGCAAAAAAUACAAGAAGAUAUUGAAAGUUUUCAUGAGUGCCUACCACCUAAUCUCAAACACUAUCAUUCAUAUGUGCCUCAUUGAGCAAAUCUUUAAUGAGGAUCUAUAUGCCAGCAAUAUCUUUUGCUUGGGAGCAGAAACAGAAAGUACAUGGUGGACUUCAUUGAGGGAUGGAGAUUUGGAAGACAUGAAUGGAUGAAGAAUCAAGUGCGUGAGGGCACCUAUCAGGAUUGUUGCUGAAAUCCUUAUGGAGACGGAGUCUCGCUCUGUUGCCCAGGCUGUAGUUCAGUGGCGCAAUCUCGGCUCACUGCAAGCUCCGCCUCCCGGGUUCAUGCCAUUCUUCUGCCUCAGCCUCCCGAGUAGCUGGGACUACAGGCGCCUGCUACCACGCCUGGCUAAUUUUUUGUAUUUUUUAGUAGAGACGGGGUUUCACCAUGUUAGUCAGGAUGGUCUCGAUUUCCUGACCUCGUGAUCCACCCAUCUCAGCCUCCCAAAGUGCUAGGAUUAAAGGCAUGAGCCACCACGCCCAGCCAACUUAUAACUUUUAUAUCAUUAGACACAUGGAAUAUGGGCCUCCGUUUGUACUCUUGCCCUUGGCCCCACAAAUGUUAGGGAGAGGCCUGGCUCCUACAAUGUACUAUUUACCUGUUGUAAAGAAUAGCCCUUCAAAAGUAUUAUUCUAAGUCUGUUUGACAUAAUAGGUCCAAAUUGUAUUACAACAUGGUAAAAAAACAACAAUCCGUUAACAAUCCUCUUUGGAUUUCUAAAAAAGUUUUGGUAGCCUAAACCCUUUCCCCAAUUUUUGAUAUCACUUCAUGUCAUUUUAGAGAGUAAGUUUUCCUGUUUUAUUAUGUUUAUAUUUAAGCUGAAUUUUCUAAAAGAACUGUGAGUGUUUUUAUUCUAUUGUGACAUUCAAGGUACGCAGCUGACCCUUGAGUAUAAGUCCCAUCAACUAAGUAAACAUCAAACAUAUCUUCAGUACAUCCGUUUAGAUCUUUACAGUUAUUUAUCACUUUUUCAUAAGUUCCAAAGUUCCAGAUGGUUACUGAUACAUUCAGUCUGACCACUGCUAGAUUUGAGACUUGUCCCACGGAUCUGCACUGUAUCUUCAUACCUUCAUUAAUAGAUCUUUUUUUCUUUUUUUUUUUUAAUUUUUUUGGAGACGUGGGUCUCAUUAUGUUGCCCAGGCUGGUCUUGAACUUCUGGUCUCAAGUGAUCCUCCCAACUCAGCCUCCCAAAGUAUUGGAAUUAUAGGUGUGAGCCGCUACACCCAGCCUAGAUCUCAAUCAGGUGACACUGAAAAUGUUUGGUCAUAAACCACAGUGAAGGAAGGGGAGGCAGCUGUUAGAUCAUCCGCCUUGACCCACAGUCAUCCAUUUGCACCUUGGCAAGCCCUCUACUACAUCUGAAUCUCGAAAUGGGGGAUAACCUCUUGGGAGAGUCUAUGCUAGUACCCUUCUAGUAGUAGUUUACAAUCUGCCAACAAAUCUUGAAGCCUUAUUUGGUUGAUAUCAAUUUGAGAGGUGGGAGGUUCAGUUUCCAAAGAGUCAGGAAAGAGCAUUCAUCUAGGCUUGAGAAGCCUCUAUUUCCUAACUCAAGAGUUCUGAUUAGGUUGUUGGUUGAGUGACACAAGGCAAUCAUCUCACUUUUCUGUUCCUGAGCUUCUCCUUUUAUAGAAUGUGGGCAGGAGUGUGGAGAGGGAGAAUUUAUUUCAUUUCCUGUUUUCCAAACUUACUAAACUGUGGAAACUUUUUCUUUUGCAGCAUUGGGCAAAACUGAUGUUCUAAGGAACAUUCUUUAGGAAAGGUUAGCCAGAUCAGUGGUUCUCAACAGGCAUGUGGUACACAUUUAGUAAUGUCCAGAGACGUUUUUGGUUGUCACAACUGGGGAUACAGGGAUGCUGCUAAACAUCCUGCAAUGCCUAGGACAGCCCUCCACAACGGAGAAUUAUCUAACUCAAAAUGCCAGUCAUUCUAAGGGGUUGAAAAACUCUGGACUAGAUGAACUAUCUCAAUUCUCUUUUAACACUAACAUUUAAAUGUGGUGUUUCUUGUUUUUUAAACACACAAAAUUUUAUUUCUCUUUUACACAAAGUCAGCUAUGGGUAUGGAUGAAUCUGCGGACAGUUUUCUUCCAUGUGUUGGCUCCAUAUUUCAGCUGCUUUGAUUUUUUUGACAUCUUAUCAAUAUGUUCUUCUAUGAUUUCCUUGGCAGAGAAAGAGAAAGCAGAGAGAAUCAUGUGCUGGAUCUUAAAUGCUUCUACGUGGAUGUAGUAAAUGUCUCUUCUACUUUUUUAAAAUAAGAAGUGUAUUAAAAUAUAAUCCAUGUAUCAUAUAAUUUACUCAUUUAAGGCAUAAAAUUCGGCUGGGUGUGGUGGCUCACACCUGUAAUCCCAGCACUUUGGGAGGUUGAGGUGGGGUGAAUCUCUUGAGCCCAGGAGUUUAAGACCAGACUGGGCAACAUGGCAAAACCCCAUCUCUACAAAAAAUACAAAAAUUAGCCAGGUGUGGUGGCAUGCACCUGUAAUCCCAGCUAUUUGGGAGGUUGAGGUGGGAGUAUUGCUUGAGUUUUGAAGGCAGAGGUUGCAGUGAGCCAAGAUUGUGCCACUGCACUCCAGCCUGGGUGACAGAGUGAGACUGUCUCAAAAAAAAAUUUUCAGCUAAAAUAAAGUGUAAAACUCUGUAGUUUUUAGUGUAUCCACAAAAUGUGUGCAAUCAUCUCUACACUCAAUUUUAGAACAUUUGAAUCACCCCCAGAAGAAACACUGUACCUAUUAACAGCCAUUCCCAAUUUUCCCUCAACACCUCCACCUCAGCCCUAGGCAACCACUAACCUAUUUUCUAUCUCUAUAGGUUUACCUAUACUGGAUAUUACAUAUCAAUGGAAUCAUGUCCUUUGUAACUGUCUUCUUUCACUUUGCAUAAUGUUUUCAAGGUUCAUUCAUGUUGCAUCCUUCUCAAUAUUUCAUUUUUAUUGCUGAAUAAUAUUCCAUUGUAUGAAUAUAACACAUUUUAUUUAUCCAUUCAUCACUUGAUGGAUAUAUGAGCCAUUUCUACUUUUUAGAUAUUAUGAAUAAUGCUGCUAUGAAUACUUAUAUGCAAGUUUUUACAUGGACGUAUGUCUUCAUUUCUCUUAGGUUAUAUAUCUAAGAAAGGAAUUACUGAAUCAUAUGAUAACUUUAUGCUUAGACUUUUGAGAAACUGCCAGACUGCUUUCCAAAAUGACUGUGCCAUUUUACAUUCCCAAAAGUAUUGUAUGAAGUUUCUAAUUUUUCCACACCCUCACCAACAUUUAUUAUCUGUGUUUUUGAUUCUUGCCAUCCUAGUGUGUGUGAAGUAGUUUCUCACUGUGAUUUGUAUCUGAAUCUUCUUGAAGGCUAAUGAUUUUGAGCAUCUUUUCAUGUGCUUAUUGUCUCUUCUUUAUAUAGAUGUCUAUUCAGGUCCUUGGCCCAUUUUUAAUUUGGGCUAUUUGUCUUUUCAUUACUGAGUUUUAAGAGUAAUUUUUAUUUAUUCUAGACACACAUCCCAUAUUAGAUAGGUGAUUUGCAACUAUUUCCUCCCAUUCUGUAGGUUUCUUGCUGGUGUCCUUUGAGAAAUAGAAGUUUUACAUUUUGAUGAAGUCAAGUGUGUAUGUUUUCUUUUGUUGCUUGUGCAUUUGAUCUCAUAUCAAAAAACCAUUGCACAAUCCAAGGCCACAAAGAGUUAUGUCUAUGUUUUCUAGAUUUUUAUCAUUUUAGUGCUUACAUUUAGGUCUUUGAUCUUUUUUGUGUUAAUUUUUUAUAUUGGGUGUGAGGUAAAAAUCCAACUUCAUUCUUUUGCAUGUGAUAUCCAAUUAUCCAGAACCACUUGUUGAGAAGGCUAGUUCUUCCUCACUGGAUUAUCUUGGCGCCCUUGUCAAAAAUAAGUUGACUGUAAAUGUGAAGGUAUAUGAGUUGUUAAAAUACCUCUUCUGUGAUAUCUAUAAUUUAUUUUCUAAAAGGAUAAGUUAUAGGUCACAUCUCAGAUUACAAUGAUUCAAGUCAAAAAGUUCAAAAUAGAAUUUACUUUCAAAAUUGUUUGUUCCCCCAGAGCUAGUUAAUACCCCCAGAGCUAGUUAAUAAACUCUAUUUGCAGAUAAAAGCAUGCUUUCCCUUCAAAGGUAUUUCACCAAGACGGGAAACACAAAUCUAAAUAAGCUGGGAAACUGAGGAUACACAGAGGGUCUCCUUAAUCUCUGGAUAUGUGGUCUAAUGUAUCCUUUUUUUGCUCAUUUUUUCCCUUUUAUCCAGAAAUACAACAUUACCUUUUUAUAAAAUUCCUGGAGAUUGAUCAUAUCUCUAGUAUUUGGGUCUAGAAUGUAUUUCUUGGCUAAAACAUCUCUUUACCCCACUUCCACAUGUGGAAAGAAAGAAAACAUGGGACUCUAAUCUCACAAGUGAGGCAUGGGGUUGUUUCCUGAAAUGAGACAAGGACUUUGGACAAGAACAUGUUUGGGCUUGAGAUGGUUUUCGUAAACCCAAAUGAUAUUAGUUCUAGUCUGUCUUUAUCGCUCACUGUAUUUUGUUUUCAUUCAUACUAAUGAAUAAUAGACUUGAUUGUGUUCCAUCAUUUAUGUCAUUAAUAUUUCCUUUAUGUUUGAGUGCUGUGCAGUUCUCCUUGAAACUUGUAUGGAGAUUGAAGUUGAUAGUGAUUUAAAGUAAUUAAUUCAUAUGUCAGUUGUUAGCAAGGUCUAGUAAUUAAAAUCUACUUUAGAGUAAGUUAUUAACUCUCCAAAAUAAAAACGCUUUAUCAACU